GACGUAGGGGGCGAGCGUUGUCCGGAUUUAUUGGGCGUAAAGCGUGCGUAGGCGGCUGCGCAAGUCGGGUGUGAAACCCCGGGGCUCAACCCCGGAACUGCAUCCGAUACUGCGUGGCUAGAGGUAGGUAGGGGAGAUCGGAAUUCCUGGUGUAGCGGUGAAAUGCGCAGAGUAUCAGGAGGAACACCGGUGGCGAAGGCGGAUCUCUGGGCCUUACCUGACGCUCAGGCACGAAAGCUAGGGGAGCGAACAGG
RNAcentral lists this ribosomal RNA (254 nucleotides) under uncultured bacterium. Its description in RNAcentral is "partial 16S ribosomal RNA". It matches the Rfam family "Bacterial small subunit ribosomal RNA", at positions 524 to 776 of the family's 1533-position model. The record is from RNAcentral.